Molecule: long non-coding RNA, 443 nt
Organism: Lacerta agilis (Sand lizard)
Lineage: Eukaryota; Metazoa; Chordata; Lepidosauria; Squamata; Lacertidae
Exons: 3
Source: RefSeq, a predicted model, not a curated record
GUGGGGAGGAAGUCCCAGGUCCUCCAGAGCGGAAUCCCUUCCUCCUUUGUCCUCUGCCUCGGUGGCCCCUCCUGGGAUCCAGUGUCCUUUCGCUAAUGUGGCCACUUGCUGCCACUGCUCCGCCGGCACACAAUUUCCAUUCUCAUCCUGGGGCAAACUUCUCAACUCAAGGUAAUUCUUCCAGGGUUUGCAAGCAUCUCUAAUUCAGACACGGAGAACUUUGCAGGCAAAGAUGGAUGAGCAAGACUUGGCUGGACCUAAAGCAGGAAGAGGCCAUGCCACUGAAGAUGGGAACAGUGGGGAAAUCUGGGAAAACUCUGUGCGGAAGAUCCUGGGUGGGAAGGAUACCCUCUGCUCAGAUGUGCAGAGCCAGCAGCUCAGGCAGUUCUGCUGCCAAGAGGACGAAGGACCCCGAGAGGUUUGCAGCCGAUUUUACCACCUUG